AACGAACGCUGGCGGCAGGCCUAACACAUGCAAGUCGAACGCCCUAGCAAUAGGGAGUGGCAGACGGGUGAGUAACGCGUGGGAACGUGCCUUUCGGUUCGGAAUAACUCAGGGAAACUUGAGCUAAUACCGGAUACGCCCUUCGGGGGAAAGAUUUAUUGCCGAAAGAUCGGCCCGCGUCCGAUUAGCUAGUUGGUGAGGUAAAGGCUCACCAAGGCGACGAUCGGUAGCUGGUCUGAGAGGAUGAUCAGCCACACUGGGACUGAGACACGGCCCAGACUCCUACGGGAGGCAGCAGUGGGGAAUAUUGGACAAUGGGCGCAAGCCUGAUCCAGCCAUGCCGCGUGAGUGAUGAAGGCCCUGGGGUUGUAAAGCUCUUUCGCCAGGGACGAUAAUGACGGUACCUGGAUAAGAAGCCCCGGCUAACUUCGUGCCAGCCGCCGCAGUUAA
Molecule: ribosomal RNA, 450 nt
Filed under: uncultured bacterium
Lineage: Bacteria
Description: partial 16S ribosomal RNA
Rfam family: Bacterial small subunit ribosomal RNA
Source: RNAcentral